This 54-nucleotide ribosomal RNA is filed under the name Pseudomonas aeruginosa C2773C. RNAcentral's name for it is "partial 16S ribosomal RNA". The record is from RNAcentral. Lineage: Bacteria; Pseudomonadati; Pseudomonadota; Gammaproteobacteria; Pseudomonadales; Pseudomonadaceae.
UAACAAGGUAGCCGUAGGGGAACCUGCGGCUGGAUCACCUCCUUAAUCGAAGAU